UUCCCGCAGGAUGACCGGCGGCGGCGCG
RNAcentral lists this small RNA (28 nucleotides) under Bombyx mori (domestic silkworm). RNAcentral's name for it is "ovarian small RNA-37174". Lineage: Eukaryota; Metazoa; Arthropoda; Insecta; Lepidoptera; Bombycidae. The record is from RNAcentral.